GCCACGAAGCAGAACGUGUGAACUUUGCUGUGCCACCGGCCAGCCCGAUAUUUUUUCUUUAUGUAAUCAGAUUGCCCAUUCUUUUCCUUCAUAGUUUCUGAGUUUUGAAUCAUGUUCAUAAAGGCCUUUCCUACUCCAAGAUAAUAAAAGAAAUCUUUGAUCUAUUUAGGGGUGAGGAAAGAGGCAGGGAAUUCUGCUUUUCUUUUUUCCAGAUGGCAGUCACCCCAACACCAUUUCCCAGGAUUCUUUUAAGCAGAAAGAGCCAUUCAAGAACCACUCAAGGGCUCUGCUUAGAGGAAGAACAUGUAUUGAUCUAAAUGCUUGAUGUGUUCUGAAUGUCGUUUUAUUUGAUCCUCACAAGAACAAUGUGAGGCAUUGAUAUCCUUGUUUCUCAAAUGAGAACCUUCAGAGAGACUGAGUAAAUUGCCCAGAGUCACACAGCCAGGAAGUGGCAGAGCUGGGAUUUGAAUACAGGUCUGUCUGACUACAACGUCUGUGCUCAUUCCACUUGCUAGAAUUACGAUUCAGAAAGGGAAACAUCUAUACAGGCUUUUACUGAAGUAUUGAAGGACAGCUUCUCAGUCUUAUCCUCUCCAUUCCUUCCCUCCAAAGGCCUCCUACACUGUGUGGCCAGAGCUUCCCAUGGCCGGCAGACGGAGGUGCCUGUCCCAGCAAAGCUGCCCACUCGUCAGGAGCACCGAUGUUAAGGGGCGUCAGAGUGGGUGACAUGAGCUACUUGGUGCUAACUACUCCCUGGCCUUCUUCUUGAGCAACCACUUGAAUGUCUUUUGGCCUCGAAUUCCUUAAAUUUUAAAACUGAUUCCUCUCACUCCCUAAGCACUGCCAGUAUGCUGCAAGGAUAGAAGUCCAUUUGUGCCUUCCCGGUUCUGCUACCUUAUUUUUUCUCUACAACUCAGCUGGGGUGUCAUCUUUUCCAGGAGAACAUCUCAGAUUCCCCUCACUCUCCAAGCCAGGACUGGUUGAAUCUCCCAUCUCUGUGCUUUCAACUCUCUGAACAUACUUUUAACAUAGCCUCACCCUCCCUUCCCCUCUGGCCCUCUCAGCAGAUGGUAAACGCCUUGAGACAGGGAUGGUUCUCUACCCGACUCUGCAUGUCCAGCUCAUCCCAGUGCCUCCCAGAAAGCAAAUGUGUCCAGCUGAACUCAACCUUCUUAGCCAAAGUGGAAUAUUUUUCUACAGGUGGUGUUAGAAAAGUAAGCAUCAAAUUAUAUGAAAUUGGAUCUUUGGACUUUGACACUGUAUGGACCUGACCCUUCAGAAGAGGAAACUGAGGCCCUGAAGGUGAAAUGGCUUGUCCAGAGCAGAGCCAGGUGUCAGCAGCCGGACCGAGACAUGAGCACCUUUACUGGUGGAGCAAAGCUCGUCAGUGAUGGCAGAAACCUUCCCUGGGCUGAGGUUUGUCCCAUAAAAUGGCCCCAAACAUGCUCAUCAGCCGGGGUGGUCUUUGGCCCCCAAAAUGUAAAAACUCUCUGGCCUCUGAAUUUUCUGUCUUUUUUCAUUUCUACUACAUAUUCUUCUUUCUUAAAAUUUACCUUUUAUUAAUUUUGAUUAUAAAAGUAUAAAAAUCUUAUUAUAGAGAUUCUGGAAUAUGCUGAAAAGUAAAAGAAAGAGAAAAUUGAAAACUAUUUGAAUUUCAUCAGCCAGAGACAGCCUGUAUUAUUAUGGUUUAUCGCCAACAAAUGAAUGCAUGUGACUGAGAUCAACCUGUAUGUUGAAUUUUAUGUUUUUUCCUUUUUGGAUUAUUGUUGGAUUGUGAGCAUUUCUCUAAGUUCUUAAAAAUGGGGUGUUUUCUCUGCAGCCUUUGUGCCAUGAAGCUUUUCAAUCAACACACUUUGUUCUGCAUUAAUUUAUAAAUAAAAAGGA
Non-coding RNA from Equus caballus (horse), 1884 nucleotides. The record is from RefSeq and is a predicted model, not a curated record. Lineage: Eukaryota; Metazoa; Chordata; Mammalia; Perissodactyla; Equidae.